This 208-nucleotide long non-coding RNA is filed under the name Elaeis guineensis (African oil palm). RNAcentral's name for it is "long non-coding RNA (EGUI_LNC033806)". The record is from RNAcentral. Lineage: Eukaryota; Viridiplantae; Streptophyta; Magnoliopsida; Arecales; Arecaceae.
GAUUAUUCUGGAGGUAAAGAAGAAGAGAAGAGGAUAUUAUUACCUAGUAAGGAGCCCAGUGUGAGGUGGAGCUUCAAGAGCCAGGAGGAGCUCAGAAUGAGGUGGAGCUCCAGGUGGAGAUGGAUCAGGCAUGAGAUAGGAGACUCGGGAGGACGAGAAGCAAUGUCGCAAGAAAAGAUUCCUAUUGCUGCAGGAUGAUACCCCGAGC